GAUGAACGCUGACAGAAUGCUUAACACAUGCAAGUCGAUGGGGAAGUGGUGCUUGCACCAUGGCAACCAUGGCGGACGGGUGAGUAACGCGUAAGGGACUUACCUGCAGGACUGGGAUAACAGGGGGAAACUCCUGACAAGACCGGAUAAUGUCAUGGAGCUGCAUGGCUUUAUGAUGAAAGGAGACGCCUGCGGAGAGCCUUGCGUCCUAUUAGCUAGUUGGUGAGGUAAUGGCUCACCAAGGCGAAGAUAGGUAGCCGGCCUGAGAGGGUGGACGGCCACAAGGGGACUGAGAUACGGCCCUUACUCCUACGGGAGGCAGCAGUGGGGAAUAUUGGACAAUGGGGGCAACCCUGAUCCAGCAAUUCUGUGUGCACGAAGAAGGUUUUCGGACUGUAAAGUGCUUUCAGCAGGGAAGAAGUAAGUGACGGUACCUGCAGAAGAAGCGACGGCUAAAUACGUG
Molecule: ribosomal RNA, 463 nt
Filed under: uncultured bacterium
Lineage: Bacteria
Description: partial 16S ribosomal RNA
Rfam family: Bacterial small subunit ribosomal RNA
Source: RNAcentral